AGUGACUAAGUCAGAUUGGAAUACUGAUGAAGAAUUUGCAAGAGAGAUCAUUGCUGGUGUAAAUCCUGGUUUAGAUCACAUCCUUCAAGAGUUUCCUCCAAAAAGUAAGCUAGACAGUGAAGUCUAUGGGGAUCGUACAAGAACAAUAACCAAAGAACAAAUAGAGCUUAACUUAGAUGGGCUCACUGCAGAUCAGACUAUCCAGAACAAGAAAUUGUUCCUGCUAGAUCACCAUUUCAGCUAUUCGGAAGAUAGGACCUUUACUAAAGGUGAGGUGGUUCUGCUGCUUC
Molecule: long non-coding RNA, 290 nt
Organism: Lotus japonicus
Lineage: Eukaryota; Viridiplantae; Streptophyta; Magnoliopsida; Fabales; Fabaceae
Exons: 3
Source: RefSeq, a predicted model, not a curated record